GCUACGGGGGGCUGCAGUGAGGAAUAUUGCACAAUGGACGCAAGUCUGAUGCAGCAACGCCGCGUGGAGGAUGAAGGUCUUUGGAUUGUAAACUCCUUUUCUCAGGGAAGAGAAUGGACGGUACCUGAGGAAUAAGUCACGGCUAACUACGUGCCAGCAGCCGCGGUAAGACGUAGGUGGCAAGCGUUAUCCGGAAUUACUGGGCGUAAAGCGCACGCAGGCGGUCUUUUAAGUUGGACGUGAAAGCUCUCGGCUUAACUGGGUGGGGUCGUUGAAUCCUGGGAGACUUGAGGCAAUGAGAGGGGUGUAGAAUUCCCGGUGUAGUGGUUGAAUGCGUAGAUAUCGGGGGGAAUACCAGUGGCGAAAGCGGCACCCUAGCGUUGUACUGACGCUCAUGUGCGAAAGCGUGGGGAGCGAACGGGAUUAGAUACCCUAGUAGUC
Molecule: ribosomal RNA, 441 nt
Filed under: uncultured bacterium
Lineage: Bacteria
Description: partial 16S ribosomal RNA
Rfam family: Bacterial small subunit ribosomal RNA
Source: RNAcentral